AAACCAGUGAAAGGGAAACUCAACGUUGGCAAGGAAACUAUAAUCAGUGAGACAAUAUUAUUGCUCACAAGAUUGAGGUUGAGUCUUUGCCAAAGGAGAGUUGCCCUUUUACUGUUUU
Molecule: microRNA precursor, 118 nt
Filed under: Brassica napus (rape)
Lineage: Eukaryota; Viridiplantae; Streptophyta; Magnoliopsida; Brassicales; Brassicaceae
Description: pre miRNA mir-399
Source: RNAcentral